GAUGAACGCUGGCGGCGUGCCUAAUACAUGCAAGUCGAACGAGGUGCUUCUGUAGCAAUACGAGAGUAUCCUAGUGGCGAACGGGUGAGUAACGCGUGGAUGACCUGCCCCAAAGUGUGGGAUAACAGUCCGAAAGGAUUGCUAAUACCUCAUGUGGUUAUCGGUUUUAGAAAGCGAUAACUAAAGCAGCAAUGCGCUUUGGGAGGGAUCUGCGUCCCAUCAGCUAGUUGGUGAGGUAACGGCUCACCAAGGCGACGACGGGUAGGGGACCUGAGAGGGUGGCCCCCCACAAUGGAACUGAAACACGGUCCAUACACCUACGGGUGGCAGCAGUAGGGAAUAUUGCUCAAUGGGCGAAAGCCUGAAGCAGCAACGCCGCGUGUGCGAUGAAGGCCU
RNAcentral lists this ribosomal RNA (396 nucleotides) under uncultured bacterium. Its description in RNAcentral is "bacterial SSU rRNA". It matches the Rfam family "Bacterial small subunit ribosomal RNA", at positions 28 to 417 of the family's 1533-position model. The record is from RNAcentral.